This is a long non-coding RNA of Rosa chinensis, 696 nucleotides long. RefSeq lists it as uncharacterized. The record is from RefSeq and is a predicted model, not a curated record. The transcript is spliced from 3 exons. Lineage: Eukaryota; Viridiplantae; Streptophyta; Magnoliopsida; Rosales; Rosaceae.
AUUUCAUAUUUUGACUGAAAUAGUAGGCCUGCUGCUUGCUUUCCUGAGGUGAAUAAAGAUGGAUAAAUGUUGCUUCAGAUAAUAAAAAUGGUUUUUCCUUUUCACAAAGACGAAGGAGCUGGUGAUAGUAUUACUUUGAGAAAUUGAGCUAACUUGAACAAAUAGGAAUAUCCGAUUGAGCUGGCACCCAUUUGAUCAAAUUGGGGGAUUUGAUUGAGCAAUCAAAGAUCUUUGAAGGAUUGAGCUCCGGUGUGAUUGUGGAAUCCCUGAAGGUGGUUAGCUUGCAAGGAUUUGCCUCAAUUUUGGAGCCUAACCUCUGCAAAAUUCAAGAUGGUUUCAGACUGACUGUUUCCAAACUUCACAAAUAGGUUGGCAUCACUACACCAAAAAUCUUAUCAGAGAACGGUAGAAAACCGUUGUGAGAUUUGGAGGGCUACCGUUGUAGACCGAGCCGUUGUCUGAUGAAAAUUCAGACAACGGUAGAACACAGUUGUGUAAGAAACACAUAGACAACAGGUAUGUGUUAUAACUGUUGUGUGAUAGCUUGGCAGCUGGCUCGGCAUAUUCCAAGCGCAGCUGCACACAGGGGCGGAGCCACAUGGGGACCCAGUGGGUCCCGUGCCCCACUGACUUAUAUAUUUUUUUUCAAUUUCUGUACAUGAAAACUUGCUUAAAUAAUCUAGAGUAUGUUAAUAU